Molecule: ribosomal RNA, 1141 nt
Filed under: Candidatus Synechococcus spongiarum
Lineage: Bacteria; Bacillati; Cyanobacteriota; Cyanophyceae; Synechococcales; Synechococcaceae
Description: bacterial SSU rRNA
Rfam family: Bacterial small subunit ribosomal RNA
Source: RNAcentral
CGCAAGCCUGACGGAGCAACGCCGCGUGAGGGAUGAAGGCCUUUGGGCUGUAAACCUCUUUUCUCAAGGAAGAAGACCUGACGGUACUUGAGGAAUAAGCCACGGCUAAUUCCGUGCCAGCAGCCGCGGUAAUACGGGAGUGGCAAGCGUUAUCCGGAAUUAUUGGGCGUAAAGCGUCCGCAGGCGGCCGUUUAAGUCUGUUGUUAAAUCGUGGAGCUCAACUCCAUCACGGCAAUGGAAACUGUUCGGCUUGAGUAUGGUAGGGGCAGAGGGAAUUUCCGGUGUAGCGGUGAAAUGCGUAGAUAUCGGGAAGAACACCAGUGGCAAAAGCGCUCUGCUGGGCCAUUACUGACGCUCGUGGACGAAAGCCAGGGGAGCGAAAGGGAUUAGAUACCCCUGUAGUCCUGGCCGUAAACGAUGAACACUAGAUGUUGGGGGAAUCGACCCCUCCGGUGUCGUAGCUAACGCGUUAAGUGUUCCGCCUGGGGAGUACGCACGCAAGUGUGAAACUCAAAGGAAUUGACGGGGGCCCGCACAAGCGGUGGAGUAUGUGGUUUAAUUCGAUGCAACGCGAAGAACCUUACCAAGGCUUGACAUCCUGCGAAUCUCCAAGAAAUUGGAGAGUGCCUUCGGGAACGCAGUGACAGGUGGUGCAUGGCUGUCGUCAGCUCGUGUCGUGAGAUGUUGGGUUAAGUCCCGCAACGAGCGCAACCCACGUUUUUAGUUGCCAGCAUUCAGUUGGGCACUCUAGAAAGACUGCCGGUGACAAACCGGAGGAAGGUGUGGACGACGUCAAGUCAUCAUGCCCCUUACGCCUUGGGCUACACACGUACUACAAUGCUGCGGACAAAGAGUAGCGAUCUUGCAAAAGUUAGCUAAUCUCGUAAACCGUGGCUCAGUUCAGAUCGUAGGCUGCAACUCGCCUACGUGAAGGAGGAAUCGCUAGUAAUCGCAGGUCAGCAUACUGCGGUGAAUACGUUCCCGGGCCUUGUACACACCGCCCGUCACACCAUGGAAGUUGGCCAUGCCCGAAGUCGUUACUCUAACCUUUUGGAAGAGGGCGCCGAAGGCAGGGCUAAUGACUGGGGUGAAGUCGUAACAAGGUAGCCGUAGCGGAAGCUGCGGCUGGAUCACCUCCUAA